Molecule: transfer RNA, 65 nt
Filed under: Cavia porcellus (domestic guinea pig)
Lineage: Eukaryota; Metazoa; Chordata; Mammalia; Rodentia; Caviidae
Rfam family: tRNA
About the family: Transfer RNA (tRNA) molecules are approximately 80 nucleotides in length. Their secondary structure includes four short double-helical elements and three loops (D, anti-codon, and T loops).
Source: Rfam by way of RNAcentral
GGGGAUUUAGCUCAGCGGCAUAAGCACCUGCCUUGCAAGCAGGCAGUCCUGAGUUUCAAUCCCCG